Molecule: ribosomal RNA, 415 nt
Filed under: uncultured bacterium
Lineage: Bacteria
Description: bacterial SSU rRNA
Rfam family: Bacterial small subunit ribosomal RNA
Source: RNAcentral
UAGUCCACGCCGUAAACGAUGGAUACUAGCUGUUGGGUUUUCGGACUCAGCGGCCAAGCGAAAGUGAUAAGUAUCCCACCUGGGGAGUACGUUCGCAAGAAUGAAACUCAAAGGAAUUGACGGGGGCCCGCACAAGCGGUGGAGCAUGUGGUUUAAUUCGAUGAUACGCGAGGAACCUUACCAGGGCUUAAAUGGGAGAUGACAGGAGCAGAGACGCUCUUUUCUUCGGACAUCUUUCAAGGUGCUGCAUGGUUGUCGUCAGCUCGUGCCGUGAGGUGUCAGGUUAAGUCCUAUAACGAGCGCAACCCCUACCGUUAGUUGCCAGCAUGUAAAGAUGGGGACUCUAACGGGACUGCCGGUGCAAACCGUGAGGAAGGUGGGGAUGACGUCAAAUCAUCACGGGCCCUUACGUCCU